CGCCCCAUCUUCUCCAGGCUCUAUGGGGGGCCUGGUGUCCCUGGGGGCAGCAGUUGUGGCACUCAAGCCCGCCAGGGGGACCCCAGCACCGGCCCCAUCAUUGAGGAGGUUGAUUGAAUGGCCCUUCGUGAUAAGUCAGCUGUGACUGUCAGGGCUAUGCUAUGGGCCUUCUAGACUGUCUUCUAUGAUCCUGCCCUUCAGAGAUGAACUUUCCCUCCAAAGCUAGAACUUUCUUCCCAGGAUAACUGAAGUCUUUUGACUUUUUGCGGGGAGGGCGGUUCAUCCUCUUCUGCUUCAAAUAAAAAGUCAUUAAUUUAUUAAAACUUGUGUGGCACUUUAACAUUGCUUUCACCUAUAUUAGCAGAGAAUGAAGAGAAACUUAAGUACUGGCAGUGUUUCCAUGUGUGAUCCUAUGAUUCAAAUUCUGUAUUUUUGUCAUAGGAACCUGGUUGAGUUUGUCAGUCUAGCU
This 469-nucleotide long non-coding RNA is filed under the name Homo sapiens (human). RNAcentral's name for it is "HSALNT0016507". The record is from RNAcentral. Lineage: Eukaryota; Metazoa; Chordata; Mammalia; Primates; Hominidae.